UGGGGAAUAUUGCACAAUGGGCGCAAGCCUGAUGCAGCCAUGCCGCGUGUAUGAAGAAGGCCUUCGGGUUGUAAAGUACUUUCAGUCGGGAGGAAGGUGUCAAGGUUAAUAACCUUGGCAAUUGACGUUACUGACAGAAGAAGCACCGGCUAACUCCGUGCCAGCAGCCGCGGUAAUACGGAGGGUGCAAGCGUUAAUCGGAAUUACUGGGCGUAAAGCGCACGCAGGCGGUUGAUUGAGUCAGAUGUGAAAUCCCCGGGCUUAACCCGGGAAUUGCAUCUGAUACUGGUCAGCUAGAGUCUUGUAGAGGGGGGUAGAAUUCCAUGUGUAGCGGUGAAAUGCGUAGAGAUGUGGAGGAAUACCGGUGGCGAAGGCGGCCCCCUGGACAAAGACUGACGCUCAGGUGCGAAAGCGUGGGGAGCAAACAGG
This 429-nucleotide ribosomal RNA is filed under the name Chloroflexota bacterium. RNAcentral describes it as "Chloroflexi bacterium partial 16S ribosomal RNA". It matches the Rfam family "Bacterial small subunit ribosomal RNA", at positions 355 to 776 of the family's 1533-position model. The record is from RNAcentral. Lineage: Bacteria; Bacillati; Chloroflexota.